This 697-nucleotide long non-coding RNA is filed under the name Bos taurus (domestic cattle). RNAcentral describes it as "long non-coding RNA NONBTAT000323". Lineage: Eukaryota; Metazoa; Chordata; Mammalia; Artiodactyla; Bovidae. The record is from RNAcentral.
GAAUAGUGCUAAAUCAUAAAAAAAAAAUAAACAAUACACUUUUAAGGCUUUUACCUAACUUAGAAUGUCAUCUUCUUUUGCUUUUAUAAUAAUUUAGGUCUCUCUUCCACAUUUAGUAAUUUGUAGAAUGAAAUAUACGCAUUUAAAUAGAAAUUGCUUUUCUUAAAUUUUCACUUAAACACAUCCUCACUCAGUCAGAGAGAAGACGGAAUUAAUUACCAUCACUUCAUUUGUCAUAUAAAGUAUAAUUGUUGCGCUCUUUAGAAUUAUUUACUCAGUAUUAUUAUUAAAGUUGUAAUGAAGUUUUUAUUUAACUGUACAUGUUUUAUUUAUUGCCACAUUAUACUACUCAAAUAAAUCUGCUUAAACGUGUGGUCUUUAGAAGCUCUAUGACAAAAUCAAUGACCACUCUUUUGCUAACAGACUUGUAACUUAACAAGCUAUUUUUUGUCAGUGUGACUGAUGUGAGCAUUGUAAAAACCAAUUUGUUUGAAAAUCCAUUGGUAUUUUAUCUAGAGUUACUAUUGUGGUAUAUUCAAAAAUAUCUUUAAAACAGCACUGAAUUUUCAUGGACAAUAUGAAAAUAAAGACUGAGGCUUUUUAAAAUGUACUGCUUGGAAAAUAAGGUUUAACAUGCAUAAAUGUUCGUUAUUGAAGUGUUUAAUUUGCUUUAAUUUGACGUUGUUCUUCCUAUGCC